This is a long non-coding RNA of Cyprinus carpio (common carp), 1114 nucleotides long. Lineage: Eukaryota; Metazoa; Chordata; Actinopteri; Cypriniformes; Cyprinidae. The record is from Ensembl.
AUCAAGUACAGCACCAGGCGGCUCGAUGGGUUUGGGCUCACAGACGGCGAAGGAAUGGAAAGGCUGUGGUCUUUCCUCCGAAGAUUUGCCAGAGUCACAAAGGAGAUGACUCCAUCUCACCGCGUUGACCUGUUGACUGAUGCCCGUUUGUAUUAUGGACAGAGGAAAUCAACUGACCUAGAGAUGCAGCUCCUGCAAAGACUAGACAAAGCAGAGAAAAUAUUGAUUCUCGCUCAAGAAGACAUCUCAUCUGUCAUCAGAGAGGCACCAGUGUUGGUUUCUGAGGGAGACAUGGAGAAAUGGAAGAAAAGGGAGAUGGAGCUAGCCCAACAGAAACAGAAACCAAUAAGUAAGCAACUGAAGUGAAUGUGUGAAUGUCUUGAAUACAUAUGGAAAAGGGACUACAUCAUCAGGCUGAUUCAGUUCUACAAAUUCAAGUAAGAGUUCAAUGUGUUUAUGUAAGACUGUAUGUUAAUUACAGCCAUCUUUAAGUGCCCUGCUGAUGUGCUUAUGAAAGCCUAGGUGUGAUUACAGUAACAGCAUAGUUUUGAAGGAAACUGUCACAAUGGUUACAAAUUAAGAGUUGCUAUAAUACUGCAGUAAUUUAAUAUGGUGUGAUUAGUAAUCAAUUACCACCAAGGCCUUUCUUAUAACAUAUACAAUGUUUGGUCAGGUGUACCACAGUAAUGGUUUCCGCUUUGUAGCUACUGAAUAUUUGUGCUGUGUUUUCUUUUCUUUUUUGUAUUGUAUAGAUCUGGGACUCGUGAGUCGUACAUGGAGUGUGAAACAGAGUAAGUAGCAAUCUGUCUGUUACUGUUCUCUGAUCAAGUGUGUAAAUAACAUUUAAUAAGAUAACUAACUAUUGUAGAUUCGAGGACUCUCUGCUGAACAUGAAGAAAAAACAAAGGAUUGGGAGAAGAUGGCAAGAAUCUGAUUCAGACUUCCAGUCUACCCUUAAAGAUGUUGACUGUGAACUCAGAGGCCAGCUGAUCUGCAAGGCUAGAACUGAAUCAAGGGAGAGAGCAGUCCUCCUCCACCUAAAAAGAAAAUACAUUAAGAUCCAACUUUGAAAAGGACCAUAAUACAAACUAAUAAAUUAAUUUCUCUGAAUGCA